RNAcentral lists this unclassified non-coding RNA (249 nucleotides) under Hevea brasiliensis (rubber tree). The record is from RNAcentral. Lineage: Eukaryota; Viridiplantae; Streptophyta; Magnoliopsida; Malpighiales; Euphorbiaceae.
GUUGGAGGCAGCAAGGACAACUUGGAUCACCUUCAGAGAGCUUCCUCCUCCAAGAUGAGGCAACAGCAGAAUUCCCAACCUCAGAAGAGAAGGGAUGCCCAAUAUGCUACUUCAGGUCUGUGGGAUCGGUUCCCCACUGCUAGGACAGUGGACCAGAUGAUGGAGACAAUGGACAGAAUAUUGGAGGACCCUUAUGUGUACAGAAGUGCAUCCGUACCUUCACUCAGAGGUGAUGAGAACAUAGGCAGC